RNAcentral lists this long non-coding RNA (554 nucleotides) under Nicotiana tabacum (common tobacco). RNAcentral describes it as "long non-coding RNA (NTAB_LNC009731)". The record is from RNAcentral. Lineage: Eukaryota; Viridiplantae; Streptophyta; Magnoliopsida; Solanales; Solanaceae.
CGUUAGGGAAAACUCUGUAAAAUCUAUAGUUAAUCUUGUAUUUGGACCUAAGCCUAGUACCAAGUGCCAAGCACUGUUCUUUACGGGCCAAUUUGAGCAAAUUUGGGCCUUCUCUCAUGAUGGCAGCACCACCAGUGGGCAUUUCAAAGAUCUGUUCCUUAGGUGAUUCCCAAGUGAUCACAUAAAACUCCUCAACUUGGGCCUUACGAAGAAGCCCACCAGUGCUUCCACCAAAGAUAGGAGAUGGGGUGCUUGGGUCCAAUUGUGGUGGUGUGAAGCCCACUGGUGCUGCUGGCUCGGCCUCUUUGGUGGCCGAUUGGGCCUUCUCAUCUGCCAUAGCCUUGAUAGGACGGUAUGUCACCGCGGACUUAGAUGGUUUAGGGGCGGAGAAGGAAGAAACGGAUUGCUUCCAAAGGGCGGCUGUUUUCGGGCCAGAGAUAGAUGAGGUGAAAAGGGAAGCUUGGGAUGCCAUGGCCAUAGAAAAGUUGGAUUGAGAGAAGUGACAAGGAAGAAGCUAUUUGUUUUGUUGUUGCAUAGAAGAGAUGAUGGGUGGU